This 252-nucleotide unclassified non-coding RNA is filed under the name Glomus sp. RNAcentral's name for it is "partial contains 5.8S ribosomal RNA and internal transcribed spacer 2". The stretch from base 1 to 65 matches the Rfam family "5.8S ribosomal RNA", at positions 84 to 154 of the family's 154-position model. The record is from RNAcentral. Lineage: Eukaryota; Fungi; Glomeromycota; Glomeromycetes; Glomerales; Glomeraceae.
GUGAAUCAUCAAAUCUUUGAACGCAAAUUGCACUCUCCGCGGAUAGUAUGCCUGUUUCAGGGUCAGCCUAUAAAAAAUCGACAACGUUGCUGUUUCGCGGUGGAGUUCGUCGGUAAUUGUGUCAUCUUAUAUCUUUAGUAUUUAAGCGACUUAUAGUUUUCUGUGUGGUUCCAUGAACGUUUCUAAGAUUUAUUUCUUUACACGUUUAAGGUAUCGAUUUUUAUUAGACGUGUCCAUCAUAUCGGAUCGCGC